Molecule: long non-coding RNA, 1248 nt
Organism: Callithrix jacchus (white-tufted-ear marmoset)
Lineage: Eukaryota; Metazoa; Chordata; Mammalia; Primates; Cebidae
Source: RefSeq, a predicted model, not a curated record
GCCGGCAGCAGUCAGAAACGUCUGCUGGAGAAGAUGCUGAAAAGUGUCAGUGAGGGCAUUUGAGAAUUAAUUUUACCCUAGAGUAGCUGUGCAGGUCUGUUUAGCAUUAACCUCUACAGUUUUGAACAUUUAAUAACACUGGAAUCAGUCUGAUGCCUUCAACACUUCACAUGAAGGGCUUUGCAAAAUCUAGCCACAAACAGAUGUGGCCAGAUUUCAAGAAAUUUUGAGAAACUAGGAGGAAUCUAUUCUGACAAAGCCUCACAGAGGAUAGAGGUAAAUUCAUGUUAUUUUUUUCAGGACAGUAGAUUGAAGCCACAUUAAUAAUUAAUACAGUGAUAGAUGGUGUUUACAGUUGCUUCUAUGGUACAAAAGUGUCCCACCAAAAUUCAUAUGUUGAAACUUAAUCAUCCAUGUGACAAUAUUAAGAGCUGGACCGUUUCAGAGCUGAUUAGGUCAUGAGGACAGAGCCCUUGUAAAUAGGAUUAGUGACCUUAAAAAUGAUGUGAGGGAGCUGUUCACCCAUUCUGCUUCUUCCACCAUGUGAGGACAUAGCCUUUCCCAUUUUCAUCACCUGAGGGCAUGACAAGAGGGACCAUCUGUGAAGCAGAGAGCAAGCCUUCACCAGAUACUGCAUCGACUGGUGGUGCCUCAGUCUUGGACUUCCCAGCCUCCAGAACUAGUAGCAAAAAUGUUUAAUUUUACAAUGCCAACUGUGGGCAAGGAUGCGAAGCCACCACCACUCAUACAUUCAGAGAUGGGGUUUCACCAUGUUGGCCAGGCUGGUCUCGAAUUUCUGAUGUCGUGAUUCACCCGCCUCAGCCACCAAACUGCUGGGAUUACAAGCGCAGACAUGUGUGCCCUGGAGGGAAGAAAGUAGAGGACCAGCUAAAAGUGCUUUCCCACUAAAUCACUGUGGGCUCCUCUAAGAAACCGAAACAUGGAAGAAGGAAGGACCAGCCAGCCAGAACAGCAGUGGGUAUCAAGGGAUGGUAUAAAAGCAAGCUGAGGACUGUCGAGAUUCAAGCAGCUAUAUACCUUGCUUCCUUUCCAGACCUGAAAUCUGAGUCAGGAGUCCAUUUCUUCCAUCUGGCCAGAGGAUCUUCAGGAUACUCUCAUGUAAGUCAAUAAUAACUUCUUUUCUUUUAUAAUUUUGUCUUUCUCAAGAUUUAACUCACAGCUCAGUGAAUUUCCAUUCAAAUAUUUUUCCUGUGAUAUGUAGCACUACUCUUCCUUCUCUUCUGAAAG